Molecule: ribosomal RNA, 401 nt
Filed under: uncultured bacterium
Lineage: Bacteria
Description: bacterial SSU rRNA
Rfam family: Bacterial small subunit ribosomal RNA
Source: RNAcentral
UAUUGGACAAUGGGGGGAACCCUGAUCCAGCGACGCCGCGUGAGUGAAGAAGUAUCUCGGUAUGUAAAGCUCUGUCAGCAGGGAAGAAAGAAAUGACGGUACCUGACCAAGAAGCCCCGGCUAACUACGUGCCAGCUGUCGCGGUAAUACGUAGGGGGCAAGCGUCAUCCGGAAUUACUGGGUGUAAAGGGAGCGUAGACGGUAUAGUAAGUCUGGAGUGAAAGGCGGGGGCCCAACCCCCGGACUGCUCUGGAAACUAUUAGACUGGAGUGCAGGAGAGGUAAGCGGAAUUCCUGGUGUAGCGGUGAAAUGCGUAGAUAUCAGGAGGAACAUCGGUGGCGAAGGCGGCUUACUGGACUGUAACUGACGUUGAGGCUCGAAAGCGUGGGGAGCAAACAGGA